RNAcentral lists this transfer RNA (58 nucleotides) under Halicephalobus gingivalis. RNAcentral's name for it is "tRNA-Asn". The record is from RNAcentral. Lineage: Eukaryota; Metazoa; Nematoda; Chromadorea; Rhabditida; Panagrolaimidae.
UAAAAAUUAUUUUAAUUAUAGAAUUUUUGAUUGUUAAUCAAAAGGUUAUUAUUCUUAG